Molecule: non-coding RNA, 102 nt
Organism: Xylaria bambusicola
Lineage: Eukaryota; Fungi; Ascomycota; Sordariomycetes; Xylariales; Xylariaceae
Source: the annotation of a RefSeq genome assembly
UCCGAAUUGGUGUAGUGGCUAACAUUUGACGCUCUCAAUAUGGAAGACUCUGGUCAUCUGUGCAGUACCGUCAAGCCCGGGGUUCGAUUCCCCGAUUCGGAG